Lynx canadensis (Canada lynx) is the source of this 237-nucleotide long non-coding RNA. RefSeq lists it as uncharacterized. The record is from RefSeq and is a predicted model, not a curated record. The transcript has 3 exons. NCBI's taxonomy places the organism in Eukaryota, Metazoa, Chordata, Mammalia, Carnivora, Felidae.
AUACAGGUUAUGGCCAUAUAUCACUUUAUCGUAUGAUAUUCUAAAUUUAUCACAUGUCCCUACCUUGGCCCUUCAGUUAUGGGCUGAAUGUUUGUGUCUCCUCAAAAUUCCUGUGUUGAAGCCCUACUACUCAAUGUGGCCAUAUUUGGAAAUGGGGCCCUCUAAGAAUCACCUGCACAAAGAAGAGGUCCAUGUGAGCACACAGCAAGAUGGCAGCCAUCGGUAAGCCAAGAGACA